Callorhinus ursinus (northern fur seal) is the source of this 824-nucleotide long non-coding RNA. RefSeq lists it as uncharacterized. NCBI's taxonomy places the organism in Eukaryota, Metazoa, Chordata, Mammalia, Carnivora, Otariidae. The record is from RefSeq and is a predicted model, not a curated record.
GUGUCUUACAAUUUUUAGUAGUGAGGUCUUACAUAUUAUGUUCAUAAGCAUAUUUAAACCCCAUAAGAUAUUAGUAUUACUGACUUUAGAUAGUCAACAUUCAUUUGGAUUUACCCAUAUAUUCACUUUUUUUGUUUUAUAUUUCUUCUUGCAUACCCUUGCUUUUGUCCUUCUGAAGAACUUCCUGAGUUAUUUUUUUAAUAUGGAUCUGCUCAGUUUUUGAACCUGUCUCUAAGUAGAGACUUCAUUUAUGAAGAAUAUUUUCUGUGUUUAUAGAAUCUAGACUGGAUCACUGGACAAAAAAUGUAAUUUCACUGUUUUCUGACCUUCAUUAUAACUAGUGAAAGUAAGUUAUUAGUCUUCUACUGCUCUGAAUACAGUAUGUCAGGAUCUCUGGAUGCUUUUAAGAAGUUAAAAGAGCCAGUAAUCAAUAAUCACACCAUUCUCCCUGAGAAGGAAAAGAGCUUGUGCCUUCUAUUUGAAGAAACUAAGGCAAUAAGAUGCAACAGAUUUGCUUAAGAAAAUUAAUUCUCUAUCAAUUCUUUAGCAAAAAGAUCUACAGCAGAGAGAACAGGUCAGCCACAAAUCAUCAAGGGAGGUCUGGAAUUAUCCUCCAUCAAAUUGGCCUCCACCUGAUGGCUUAUAAUAACCCAUCAAAUAUUUUAUUACAAGGAUUUUUUAAAAGUCUUCUAUGCUAUCAGAAAGAAAACACCUAAUAACAUUGGUUUGUGCCUAAAUGUUGCAAAGAUAAAGUUGUUUGCACUGUAAAUCAUAUUGGUGUUUUAACAGUUUACCUCAAAUUUGUGAAUGAAAUAAAGUUUAUA